RNAcentral lists this unclassified non-coding RNA (314 nucleotides) under plant metagenome. RNAcentral's name for it is "partial contains 5.8S ribosomal RNA, internal transcribed spacer 2, and large subunit ribosomal RNA". The stretch from base 1 to 105 matches the Rfam family "5.8S ribosomal RNA", at positions 50 to 154 of the family's 154-position model. The record is from RNAcentral.
GAAAUGCGAUAAUUAAUGUGAAUUGCAGAAUUCAGUGAAUCAUCGAGUCUUUGAACGCACAUUGCGCCCCCUGGUAUUCCGGGGGGCAUGCCUGUCCGAGCGUCAUUGCUGCCCUCAAGCACGGCUUGUGUGUUGGGCUUCCGUCCCUGGCAACGGGGACGGGCCCAAAAGGCAGUGGCGGCACCAUGUCUGGUCCUCGAGCGUAUGGGGCUUUGUCACCCGCUCCCGUAGGUCCAGCUGGCAUCUAGCCUCGCAACCAAUCUUUUUAACCAGGUUGACCUCGGAUCAGGUAGGGAUACCCGCUGAACUUAAGC